AGCCGCAUAGCCAAGAGGUAAGGCAUCGGGUUUUGGCCCCGACACCGCAGGUUCAAGCCCUGCUGCGGCUGCCA
RNAcentral lists this transfer RNA (74 nucleotides) under Desulfovibrio sp. RNAcentral's name for it is "tRNA-Gln". It matches the Rfam family "tRNA". From Rfam's summary of the family: Transfer RNA (tRNA) molecules are approximately 80 nucleotides in length. Their secondary structure includes four short double-helical elements and three loops (D, anti-codon, and T loops). Further hydrogen bonds mediate the characteristic L-shaped molecular structure. tRNAs have two regions of fundamental functional importance: the anti-codon, which is responsible for specific mRNA codon recognition, and the 3' end, to which the tRNAs corresponding amino acid is attached (by aminoacyl-tRNA synthetases). tRNAs cope with the degeneracy of the genetic code in two manners: having more than one tRNA (with a specific anti-codon) for a particular amino acid; and 'wobble' base-pairing, i.e. permitting non-standard base-pairing at the 3rd anti-codon position. Lineage: Bacteria; Pseudomonadati; Thermodesulfobacteriota; Desulfovibrionia; Desulfovibrionales; Desulfovibrionaceae. The record is from RNAcentral.